RNAcentral lists this unclassified non-coding RNA (2887 nucleotides) under Hevea brasiliensis (rubber tree). Lineage: Eukaryota; Viridiplantae; Streptophyta; Magnoliopsida; Malpighiales; Euphorbiaceae. The record is from RNAcentral.
CUGAGCUGUUACCAUGUAUUUCCUAAGUCUCUCUGUAUACCACUACUCCUCGUUCUGUUCCCGUAUUGCAAGCUGUAAUUGAAGGAGAGCUUUUUUGGAUUCAUCUCGCUGGUCAUAGCUCGCGUUCUGUAUGCGCAUCUGACUUUUUUGAGUUUCUGUUUCUCUUGGGAGCAAUAGAUCUCUCUGGUGUAACUUGUGUCCUUAUCAUGUCACCAUGAUUUAGAGACGCCUUGCUUUGUUGCUUCUUCUUCAUCCUCAACUCGUCUUUUUUCCCCUUCCAUUUUUAUCUAUUUCUUCUGACAAUGAUAUCAAAGUUAUAGCCUCUUCAGCCUCUAGAGAAAGGAGGGAGGGAAAAAAAAAAGCGAAGUUUUUGGGCCAUCUAUAAUAUUUGAUUGCUUGUUUUGUUGUUUUUCUCUAGUUUUCUUUUGUUUGUGAGCGUGGUUUAUUUUUAUAGAUCAGACUCAAUAGACUAAAUUUAACGACAAUGGCACCCUCGUUCGAUUGGUGGGCUAAGGAUGGCCAUAGAGGCACACCCGUGGUGGUCAAAAUGGAGAACCCCAACUGGUCAAUGUUCGAGCUUCAGGGUCCAUCCGAAGAAGAUUUCCUCAUCGGUGACUCACCGUCUCGUCCCCAUGACAAGUCCCGUAACAAGAACGCCAAGCAGCUCACUUGGGUUCUUCUCCUCAAAGCCCACAAGACCGCCGGUUGUUUAACCUCCAUUGCCUCGGCAAUUGUCUCCCUUGGCUCCGUCAUCAAGCGCCGUCUCCGCUCUGGCCGCACUGAUACGGAUAUCGAAGUUGAUGGGGACGCCGGCCGGGAAAAUGAGAACCCAACAGUCAAAAGCCGGUUCUACUCCUGCAUCAAGGUGUUUCUAUGGCUCUCAGUUUUACUCUUGGGGUUCGAGAUGGCUGCCUAUUUUAAGGGCUGGCAUUUUGGUGCUCCGCAUCUCCAAUUGCAGUACCUGUUAGCGACACCAUUUGGGUUUAAGGACAUUUUUGAUUCUUUGUAUUCUCGAUGGGUUUUGAUUCGCGUGGAGUAUCUCACUCCUCCCUUGCAAUUCCUUGCCAAUUUGUGUAUUGUGCUCUUCCUUAUCCAGAGUUUGGACAGGCUUCUACUCUGUUUGGGCUGCUUCUGGAUCCGAUUCAAGAAGAUAAAACCCAUUCCCAAACAGGACGCAAUUGCCGAUCUUGAAUCCGGCGAAAAUGGCUUCUUUCCUAUGGUUCUUGUCCAGAUCCCCAUGUGCAACGAGAAAGAGGUUUAUCAACAAUCAAUUGCUGCCGUGUGCAAUUUGGACUGGCCAAAAUCCAAGAUUCUAAUUCAAGUUCUAGACGAUUCUGACGACCCAACCUCGCAAUUGUUGAUUAACGAAGAGGUGAACAAAUGGCAGCAAGAGGGUGCCAACAUUGUGUAUAGGCAUCGAGUAGUCAGAGAAGGGUAUAAAGCUGGUAAUCUCAAGUCUGCAAUGAAUUGCAGCUAUGUCAAAGACUAUGAAUUUGUUGCUAUUUUCGAUGCUGAUUUCCAGCCUGCACCCGAUUUUCUGAAAAGAACAGUACCUCACUUUAAGGAUAACGAAAAGCUUGGGCUUGUUCAAGCAAGAUGGUCCUUUGUGAACAAGGAUGAGAACUUGCUCACAAGGCUCCAAAACAUCAAUCUGUGCUUCCAUUUUGAAGUGGAACAACAAGUAAAUGGUGCUUUUCUCAAUUUCUUUGGGUUCAAUGGAACAGCAGGUGUGUGGAGAAUUAAGGCUUUAGAGGAUUCAGGAGGGUGGCUUGAGAGGACAACAGUUGAGGAUAUGGACAUUGCUGUUCGAGCACACUUAAAUGGAUGGAAAUUCAUCUUCCUCAAUGAUGUAAAAGUCCUCUGCGAGUUGCCAGAAUCUUAUGAAGCUUAUAAGAAACAGCAGCAUCGCUGGCAUUCUGGUCCUAUGCAACUGUUCCGCUUGUGCCUUCCUGCUAUAAUCACUUCCAAGAUACCAAUGUGGAAGAAGUCCAACCUCAUAUUUCUUUUCUUUCUUUUGAGGAAACUUAUACUUCCCUUCUACUCAUUUACACUGUUCUGUAUCAUUCUUCCAUUGACAAUGUUCAUACCAGAGGCAGAACUACCUCUUUGGGUGAUUUGUUACAUACCCAUUUUCAUGUCCUUCUUGAACAUUCUUCCUGCCCCCAAAUCCUUCCCUUUCUUGGUCCCAUACCUGCUCUUUGAGAACACCAUGUCUGUAACAAAGUUCAAUGCCAUGGUAUCAGGGCUAUUUCAGCUUGGAAGCGCUUAUGAAUGGGUUGUCACAAAGAAGACAGGAAGAUCAUCAGAGUCUGAUUUAUUAGCUUUUUCUGAAAGGGAAUCGAAAUCUUCAAAUGAGGAGAAAAUCCUUAGGAGACACUCAGAGUCUGGUUUGAAUUUGAUAAGUAAACUCCAGGAACAAGAAGCACCUAGAGUAAAAAAGAGAAAUAGACUCUACAGGAAGGAGCUUGCACUUGCUUUUCUUCUGCUAAUUGCAGCAGCAAGAAGCCUGUUAUCUGCACAUGGAGUUCAUUUCUACUACUUGCUGUUCCAAGGUUUAUCUUUUCUAGUUGUUGGCUUGGACUUGAUUGGUGAGCAGGUAAGCUGAGAAGCAGCUAGCAUAUUUGAUUUUCCUGAUUAAGCUUAAGGCUAAAGCAUUUUGAUGUUUAUAAAGAAUCAGAAAAAGAAAAAAAGAAAAAAGAGGUCCAGUUCCCUGGCAACCAACUUUCAAUGGAACUGGUUUACUCCACAGACAGAAGUUGAUAUAACGCUACUGGAAUUUACUAGGCAAAAGGUAAGGGUGAGAAGAGUUGAGUUUGUACAAUACCGUGCAUGUUAUCCAAGUCUGAAUAAUUAAUGAUGAGCCAAUAUAAAAAUUAUAUUUUUGAAA